GAGAAUCCGAACGUGAUCAAGCAACUCUCACAAUUCUGGUUCAGGGCAAGGUCCAUGUGAAACCAGUAAGCAGAAGGCCUCAUCCAAUUGAGAUGCAACAUGGAUUCUAGAUAUCACGAAAGUUCGUUAAGGCAGUAAAUGUUGUUGUUCUGCUUAAAUUUUUACGGAAGACCAUUACAGAUCUAUCUGUUCCAUCGUGGUAUGAGAAGAAUUCUGUGGCUUUCAGCUGUUUGGGAGAUCAUUAAUAUUAAGAUUAUCGACCAUGUUGGCAUUCUUGCUUGCAGCAGCACUGUGGAUAGAUAGGUGAAAUAAUACAAUAUGUUAGCAUGAAACCAGAGUUGAACAGAAUCUUUGCAAUGACUUUGAAGUGCUGGAAUUUAUUAGAGCUCCUGCUUGUUAGCACUCUUCGGUUGCCAAUAUGACUGCCUUGGGAAGAAUAGGUUAUGGCUGAGUUACCUGAUGAGCAAGUCCAAGUGGCCUAUUAAUUGCAAAAACAAUAGUGAAGUCAUGAUAGUUGCAAACGAGAGAGAAGCCACGAUCCUAUCAUGGCAUUAAAAAAAGACUGCUGCAACGUAACCAGAAAAAAAUGAGCUUGGAGUCUGGAUAUUGUGCAAAUAUCUUUGUUUUUAGUGGAGAAAUGUCUAAUUUCUCUGCAUUUUCAAUGUGCAAUAAGGCUGAUUAAUGAAGCAACUGUGGCAUGAAUGAUGGCUGUAUUAUGCCUGGGACUUUAUAUAGCCACAGCACCAUCACAGCCUGGUGUCUAACACACAAGUUUCAAACCUGUAAAUUCCUUCUCAUGGAUUGCAGGCCUAAGUCUUUGCGUGUAGCACACCAAACUAUAAAUUUUCUACUAUUUCUCGGGGCUUUGUCCCCACGAGAGCACGGAGCAAAGGUUUCUUUUUUUUUUUUUUAAUCUUUUCUUUCAGGAAAGUCGAAGAUACGGAAGAUAGUCCCUCCCCUCUAUGCCUAGUUUUUAAUCAGGAAACCUCACCAUCAGGCCAAAGCUUUUGGCUGUUGCUACUGGUUCUGUAAAUAAAUGUAUAAUUAUUUUCUCGUUGGCAACCCUUCGGUAGAGUUUGUUUGGUAGAAAAUCAAUAUGUAUGCUUGGACGGAUUCUUAACUUACAAGCUAUUUCUUGUUUUGUCUAUAUGAUAUCACAUUGGACCGCUUCA
Carica papaya (papaya) is the source of this 1172-nucleotide non-coding RNA. NCBI's taxonomy places the organism in Eukaryota, Viridiplantae, Streptophyta, Magnoliopsida, Brassicales, Caricaceae. The record is from RefSeq and is a predicted model, not a curated record.